UUUAUUGUUUUCCCAAUAAACAUUUGCUUACAACAAAAUUAAAUAUCUUGUGAGGAAGAAUUGUGAACAGUGUUUAAAUGAAUCAAACAAACCAAUCUGAAUCAAAAGCCAUCAAAAAUGAAAGAAAAAACAUUUUGGGUGAAUUUUACCCCAACGAUGUCCCUAAUUUUUUUUUUUGGGGGGGGCUAAAAUUCGUAACAGUGAGGAAGCAGUGAAAGAUCUUACAACUACUGGUGUAGUUUCCUUUGUUUCUUUUGGCCAAUUUAUGCGGUUGUUACUUGAGUCCAGGAUCAAAACUAUGCUAUCUGGUGGAUUAUCCAGCUUAGUGCUGCUACAGGAGCGACGUCUCCCCACUGCACUAGGAGAAGAUGCACCAUUGCUCUUCUCACACACCCUGGUGCCUAGGCGCUUUGUUGAGUUUUUAGCUGGGGUUCAUUUUCUUUUAAACAUCCUCAGACCGAGAUCUCUCUGAGCAAACCCCUUCACCAUGGGACCAAGGACACUCGAGACUGCUGCCCAGUCUUUUUUUCAUUCCUCUUGGAUUUUUUUUUACAGAAUGCCAUGGGUCCCAGACCUGGUGUCGUUGAAAUGUUGUGAGAUUGUCAUGUGUAUUCAGGUUGCUCUUUUGUCCAAAUGUUUGACCACACUCAGAACAGCCAAAUGUUUUUGUCCUGUAUGAAGUAUCAUGUGCGUGUUCAAGUUGCUCUUUUGUCUAAAUGCUUUACCACAUUCAGAACAGCCAAAUGGUUUUUGUCCUGAAUGAAUUCUCAUGUGUGUAUUCAGGUGGCUCUUUACUCCAAAUGUUUGACUACAUU
Molecule: long non-coding RNA, 815 nt
Organism: Thalassophryne amazonica
Lineage: Eukaryota; Metazoa; Chordata; Actinopteri; Batrachoidiformes; Batrachoididae
Exons: 2
Source: RefSeq, a predicted model, not a curated record